RNAcentral lists this unclassified non-coding RNA (532 nucleotides) under Candida tropicalis. RNAcentral describes it as "sequence contains 18S rRNA gene, ITS1, 5.8S rRNA gene, ITS2, 28S rRNA gene". The stretch from base 183 to 336 matches the Rfam family "5.8S ribosomal RNA". The record is from RNAcentral. Lineage: Eukaryota; Fungi; Ascomycota; Pichiomycetes; Serinales; Debaryomycetaceae.
UCGUAACAAGGUUUCCGUAGGUGAACCUGCGGAAGGAUCAUUACUGAUUUGCUUAAUUGCACCACAUGUGUUUUUUAUUGAACAAAUUUCUUUGGUGGCGGGAGCAAUCCUACCGCCAGAGGUUAUAACUAAACCAAACUUUUUAUUUACAGUCAAACUUGAUUUAUUAUUACAAUAGUCAAAACUUUCAACAACGGAUCUCUUGGUUCUCGCAUCGAUGAAGAACGCAGCGAAAUGCGAUACGUAAUAUGAAUUGCAGAUAUUCGUGAAUCAUCGAAUCUUUGAACGCACAUUGCGCCCUUUGGUAUUCCAAAGGGCAUGCCUGUUUGAGCGUCAUUUCUCCCUCAAACCCCCGGGUUUGGUGUUGAGCAAUACGCUAGGUUUGUUUGAAAGAAUUUAACGUGGAAACUUAUUUUAAGCGACUUAGGUUUAUCCAAAAACGCUUAUUUUGCUAGUGGCCACCACAAUUUAUUUCAUAACUUUGACCUCAAAUCAGGUAGGACUACCCGCUGAACUUAAGCAUAUCAAUAAG